GGAGGGUAUCUGACCCUGGUGGGCAGCACGGGCUUCAAACCCGAUGAGUGGCUAGUUGACUAGUUGCUGGUAGGUUCGAUUCCUACACCUUCUC
This 94-nucleotide transfer RNA is filed under the name compost metagenome. RNAcentral describes it as "tRNA-Sec". It matches the Rfam family "Selenocysteine transfer RNA". The record is from RNAcentral.